Homo sapiens (human) is the source of this 529-nucleotide long non-coding RNA. The record is from Ensembl. Lineage: Eukaryota; Metazoa; Chordata; Mammalia; Primates; Hominidae.
CUCAGCCUGAAAGUUGUCUUCACAGACCAUCGUACUCAUACUCUGACUUCUAGAUGGGGUAAUGGGGAAGCCAGGAACAUUUGAUCUGGGCUUGAUAAAUGGACACACAGAUGAAGGAAGAAACAAAUGAAGUAUGGCACCUAUGAAGGCUGGAGGACUCAGGGACAACUCCUGGAUGAGAUGAGCUGUGAUGAGGACACAAAGGAUUUCUAAACUGCUUUGCUGAUUUGAUCUGGGGCCCUGGAGUGCCAACAUCCUGUGAUAGCGGCUGAUUGUUGAUGCCUGGGAGGAUACAGCAGUGACGAUCCAAAUUUACAAGACUCAACAUGGUUUUCAAAACUUCCUUUUAAAAAAGAUGUUCCUGAGUUCUGGAAUCUGAACAAAAUAUGUCUGGUUAUUAUAUAAUUCUAAUGGUCCUUGUGGAUGCUACCAUUAGAGUUCAGUUAGUGUCUCAUCUAUCACUGUAAUAUUUGUAUUGUAACACUAAUCGUGGCAAAGUAUGAUUUGAUAAAUGCUCAUUCUCAAAUCU